Molecule: ribosomal RNA, 525 nt
Filed under: Paracoccus sp. CSeB30_11
Lineage: Bacteria; Pseudomonadati; Pseudomonadota; Alphaproteobacteria; Rhodobacterales; Paracoccaceae
Description: bacterial SSU rRNA
Rfam family: Bacterial small subunit ribosomal RNA
Source: RNAcentral
GUCGAGCGAGACCUUCGGGUCUAGCGGCGGACGGGUGAGUAACGCGUGGGAACGUGCCCUUUGCUACGGAAUAGCCCCGGGAAACUGGGAGUAAUACCGUAUGUGCCCUUCGGGGGAAAGAUUUAUCGGCAAAGGAUCGGCCCGCGUUGGAUUAGGUAGUUGGUGGGGUAAUGGCCUACCAAGCCGACGAUCCAUAGCUGGUUUGAGAGGAUGAUCAGCCACACUGGGACUGAGACACGGCCCAGACUCCUACGGGAGGCAGCAGUGGGGAAUCUUAGACAAUGGGGGCAACCCUGAUCUAGCCAUGCCGCGUGAGUGAUGAAGGCCUUAGGGUUGUAAAGCUCUUUCAGCUGGGAAGAUAAUGACGGUACCAGCAGAAGAAGCCCCGGCUAACUCCGUGCCAGCAGCCGCGGUAAUACGGAGGGGGCUAGCGUUGUUCGGAAUUACUGGGCGUAAAGCGCACGUAGGCGGACCGGACAGUCAGAGGUGAAAUCCCAGGGCUCAACCUUGGAACUGCCUUUGNAA